This 195-nucleotide ribosomal RNA is filed under the name uncultured Candidatus Accumulibacter sp. Its description in RNAcentral is "partial 16S ribosomal RNA". It matches the Rfam family "Bacterial small subunit ribosomal RNA", at positions 335 to 524 of the family's 1533-position model. The record is from RNAcentral. Lineage: Bacteria; Pseudomonadati; Pseudomonadota; Betaproteobacteria.
ACUCCUACGGGAGGCAGCAGUGGGGAAUAUUGGACAAUGGGGGCAAGCCUGAUCAGCCAUGCCGCGUGAGUGAGAAGGCCUUCGGGUUGUAAAGCCCUUUCGGCGGGGAAGAAAUUGCACGGGUUAAUACCCUGCGUAGAUGACGGUACCCGAAGAAUAAGCACCGGCUAACUCCGUGCCAGCAGCCGCGGUAAU